UACGUAGGUGGCAAGCGUUAUCCGGAAUUAUUGGGCGUAAAGAGCGCGCAGGUGGUUAAUUAAGUCUGAUGUGAAAGCCCACGGCUUAACCGUGGAGGGUCAUUGGAAACUGGUUGACUUGAGUGCAGAAGAGGGAAGUGGAAUUCCAUGUGUAGCGGUGAAAUGCGUAGAGAUAUGGAGGAACACCAGUGGCGAAGGCGGCUUCCUGGUCUGCAACUGACACUGAGGCGCGGAAGCGUGGGGAGCAAACAGG
Molecule: ribosomal RNA, 253 nt
Filed under: uncultured bacterium
Lineage: Bacteria
Description: partial 16S ribosomal RNA
Rfam family: Bacterial small subunit ribosomal RNA
Source: RNAcentral